CCUACGGGGGGCUGCAGUGGGGAAUUUUGGACAAUGGGGGCAACCCUGAUCCAGCCAUUCCGCGUGAGUGAAGAAGGCCUUCGGGUUGUAAAGCUCUUUCGGCCGGGAAGAAAUCGCAUCUCCUAAUACGGGGUGUGGAUGACGGUACCGGAAGAAGAAGCACCGGCUAACUACGUGCCCGCAGCCGCGGUAUUACGUAGGGGGCGAGCGUUAAUCGGAAUUACUGGGCGUAAAGCGUGAGGAGACAUGUGGAAUCCCCGGGCUUAACCUGGGAACUGCGUUUGUGAGUGGUGGGCUUGAGUGCGGCAGAGGGGGGUGGAAUUCCACGUGUAGCAGUGAAAUGCGUAGAGAUGUGGAGGAACACCGAUGGCGAAGGCAGCCCCCUGGGUCGACACUGACGCUCAUGCACGAAAGCGUGGGGAGCAAACAGGAUUAGAUACCCCAGUAGUC
RNAcentral lists this ribosomal RNA (450 nucleotides) under uncultured bacterium. RNAcentral describes it as "partial 16S ribosomal RNA". It matches the Rfam family "Bacterial small subunit ribosomal RNA", at positions 338 to 795 of the family's 1533-position model. The record is from RNAcentral.